AGACCAUGAUGAGGGCAACACCUAAGCAAGCCCUUUUAUCUUUUUUAAGCUUUGUCCAAUGAUUCAAAAUCUAGCUGCAUGAAUGAUGUGAUAUCAUUCCUCAUUUU
Molecule: small nucleolar RNA, 107 nt
Filed under: Theobroma cacao (cacao)
Lineage: Eukaryota; Viridiplantae; Streptophyta; Magnoliopsida; Malvales; Malvaceae
Description: Plant small nucleolar RNA R71
Rfam family: Plant small nucleolar RNA R71
About the family: R71 is a member of the C/D box family of snoRNAs containing the C (UGAUGA) and D (CUGA) box motifs. Multiple nearly identical copies of this snoRNA have been identified in Arabidopsis, and it is thought to function as a 2'-O-ribose methylation guide for 18S ribosomal RNA.
Source: Rfam by way of RNAcentral